AAGUACUUAUACGACUGACGGAAGUGGAAUGGACCACAUGAAGUAUAGGGAAUGAUAAGAGCCGACCGUCUGGGCAUAAAAU
RNAcentral lists this non-coding RNA (82 nucleotides) under Lachnoclostridium sp. An118. RNAcentral describes it as "ZMP/ZTP riboswitch aptamer (pfl RNA motif)". It matches the Rfam family "ZMP/ZTP riboswitch aptamer (pfl RNA motif)". Rfam says of the family: Previously known as pfl RNA. ZMP is also known as AICAR. RNAcentral also lists the same sequence under 1 other name. Lineage: Bacteria; Bacillati; Bacillota; Clostridia; Lachnospirales; Lachnospiraceae. The record is from Rfam by way of RNAcentral.